ACGGCUCAGUAACACGUGGCUAACCUACCCUCAGGACGAGGACAACCCCGGGAAACUGGGACUAAUACUCGAUAGGCGAGGAGGCCUGGAAUGGUUUCUCACCUAAAGGGCUUUGGAAACAUGCUUUCAAUGUCGCCUGAGGAUGGGGCCGCGUCCGAUCAGGUUGUUGGUGAGGUAAUGGCUCACCAAGCCUAUAACCGGUACGGGCCGUGAGAGCGGUAGCCCGGAGAUGGGUACUGAGACAAGGACCCAGGCCCUACGGGGCGCAGCAGUCGCGAAAACUCCGCAAUGCACGAAAGUGUGACGGGGCUACCCCGAGUGCCGUCCGCUGAGGAUGGCUUUUCCUUGGUGUAACUAGCCGGGGGAAUAAGGAGAGGGCAAGACUGGUGUCAGCCGCCGCGGUAAUACCAGCUCUCCGAGUGGUAGGGAUGAUUAUUGGGCUUAAAGCGUCCGUAGCCGGCUUAGCAAGUUUCCUGUUAAAUUCAGCGACCUAAUCGUUGAGCCGCGGGAAAUACUACUAGGCUAGGAGGCGGGAGAGGUCGACGGUACUUCUGGGGUAGGGGUGAAAUCCUAUAAUCCCGGGAGGACCACCAGUGGCGAAGGCUGUCGACUAGAACGCGCUCGACGGUGAGGGACGAAAGCUGGGGGAGCGAACCGGAUUAGAUACCCGGGUAGUCCCAGCUGUAAACGAUGCGGGCUAGGUGUUGGGGUGGCUACGUGCCACUUCAGUGCCGCAGGGAAGCCAUUAAGCCCGCCGCCUGGGGAGUACGGCCGCAAGGCUGAAACUUAAAGGAAUUGGCGGGGGAGCAC
This 810-nucleotide ribosomal RNA is filed under the name uncultured archaeon. Its description in RNAcentral is "bacterial SSU rRNA". It matches the Rfam family "Archaeal small subunit ribosomal RNA", at positions 85 to 879 of the family's 1478-position model. The record is from RNAcentral.